Betta splendens (Siamese fighting fish) is the source of this 151-nucleotide small nuclear RNA. Its record names the gene U1. It matches the Rfam family "U1 spliceosomal RNA". Rfam says of the family: U1 is a small nuclear RNA (snRNA) component of the spliceosome (involved in pre-mRNA splicing). NCBI's taxonomy places the organism in Eukaryota, Metazoa, Chordata, Actinopteri, Anabantiformes, Osphronemidae. The record is from Ensembl.
AGACCAAUCACGCGGCGUAACAGUCUACAGUCCACACUGUAGACUGUAGACUUUGCACUACCGUAGAAACAGGUUCUGCGAAUUCCCCAAAUGUGGGAAUCUCGACUGCAUAAUUUCUGGUAGUGGGGGACUGCGUUCGCGCUCUCCCCUG